CGGACGGUACCUCAUUAGAAAGCCAGGGCUAAUUACGUGCCAGCAGCCGCGGUAAUACGUAGGUGGCAAGCGUUGUCCGGAAUCAUUGGGCGUAAAGCGCGCGCAGGCGGUCCCUUAAGUCCUGAUGUGAAAGCCCACGGCUCAACCGUGGAGGGUCAUUGGAAACUGGGGGACUUGAGUGCAGAAGAGGAAAGCGGAAUUCCAAGUGUAGCGGUGAAAUGCGUAGAGAUUUGGAGGAACACCAGUGGCGAAGGCGGCUUUCUGGUCUGUAACUGACGCUGAGGCGCGAAAGCGUGGGGAGCAAACAGGAUUAGAUACCCUGGUAGUCCACGCCGUAAACGAUGAGUGCUAAGUGUUAGGGGGUUUCCGCCCCUUAGUGCUGCAGCUAACGCAUUAAGCACUCCGCCUGGGGAGUACGGUCGCAAGACUGAAACUCAAAGGAAUUGACGGGGGCCCGCACAAGCGGUGGAGCAUGUGGUUUAAUUCGAAGCAACGCGAAGAACCUUACCAGGUCUUGACAUCCCGCCGACCGCCUAGGAGACUGGGCCUUCCCUUCGGGGACGGCGGUGACAGGUGGUGCAUGGUUGUCGUCAGCUCGUGUCGUGAGAUGUUGGGUUAAGUCCCGCAACGAGCGCAACCCUUGAUCUUAGUUGCCAGCAUUCAGUUGGGCACUCUAAGGUGACUGCCGGUGACAAACCGGAGGAAGGUGGGGAUGACGUCAAAUCAUCAUGCCCCUUAUGACCUGGGCUACACACGUGCUACAAUGGAUGGUACAAAGGGCUGCGAACCCGCGAGGGGGAGCCAAUCCCAUAAAACCAUUCUCAGUUCGGAUUGUAGGCUGCAACUCGCCUACAUGAAGCUGGAAUCGCUAGUAAUCGUGGAUCAGCAUGCCACGGUGAAUACGUUCCCGGGCCUUGUACACACCGCCCGUCACACCACGAAGAGUUUGUAACACCCCGAAGUCCGGUGGGGGUAACCUUUUAUGGAGCCCGGCCCCCGAAGGUGGGGACAGAUGAUUGGGGGUGAAUCGAAAAGAAAGGGGGCAGAAAAAAAAAAUAAAAGGCAUAAACCC
Molecule: ribosomal RNA, 1072 nt
Filed under: Chryseomicrobium amylolyticum
Lineage: Bacteria; Bacillati; Bacillota; Bacilli; Caryophanales; Caryophanaceae
Description: bacterial SSU rRNA
Rfam family: Bacterial small subunit ribosomal RNA
Source: RNAcentral